AGUCCUCGUCGACGGACGCCGCGACGUUCGGUGGUGGAAACCUCGAGCUCCGUCGCGGGUGCGUCGUCGGUGCAAGGCUCCGACCCUUAAGCAUACCAUCGCGA
RNAcentral lists this ribosomal RNA (104 nucleotides) under Sapindus mukorossi (Indian soapberry). RNAcentral's name for it is "partial 26S ribosomal RNA". The record is from RNAcentral. Lineage: Eukaryota; Viridiplantae; Streptophyta; Magnoliopsida; Sapindales; Sapindaceae.